AACGAACGCUGGCGGCGUGCCUAAGACAUGCAAGUCGCGCGAGAAAAGGGGCUUCGGCCCCCAGUAGAGCGGCGCACGGGUGAGUAACGCGUGGGUAAGUCUGCCUCCCGGGUCCCGGGGAUAACCUCGGGAAACGUGGGGCGUAAUACCGGAUGAGACCACGAGGUCCUCGGGCCUCGCGGGAAAAGGUAGGCCUCUUCAUGAAAGCUUUCGCCUGGAGAUGAGCCCGCGUCCCAUUAGCUAGUUGGUGAGGAACGGCUCACCAAGGCUCCGAUGGGUAGCUGGUCUGAGAGGACGACCAGCCACACUGGAACUGAGACACGGUCCAGACUCCUACGGGAGGCAGCAGUC
RNAcentral lists this ribosomal RNA (351 nucleotides) under uncultured bacterium. Its description in RNAcentral is "bacterial SSU rRNA". It matches the Rfam family "Bacterial small subunit ribosomal RNA", at positions 28 to 356 of the family's 1533-position model. The record is from RNAcentral.